UCCUACGGGGAGCAGCAGUAGGGAAUCUUCCACAAUGGACGAAAGUCUGAUGGAGCAACGCCGCGUGAGUGAUGAAGGUUUUCGGAUCGUAAAACUCUGUUGUAAGGGAAGAACACGUACGAGAGGGAAUGCUCGUACCUUGACGGUACCUUACGAGAAAGCCACGGCUAACUACGUGCCAGCAGCCGCGGUAAUACGUAGGUGGCAAGCGUUGUCCGGAAUUAUUGGGCGUAAAGCGCGCGCAGGCGGCCUUUUAAGUUUGAUGUGAAAGCCCCCGGCUCAACCGGGGAGGGCCAUUGGAAACUGGAAGGCUUGAGUACAGAAGAGAAGAGUGGAAUUCCACGUGUAGCGGUGAAAUGCGUAGAGAUGUGGAGGAACACCAGUGGCGAAGGCGACUCUUUGGUCUGUAACUGACGCUGAGGCGCGAAAGCGUGGGGAGCAAACAGGAUUAGAUACCCUGGUAGUCCACGCCGUAAACGAUGAGUGCUAGGUGUUGGGGGGUUUCCGCCCCUCAGUGCUGAAGCUAACGCAUUAAGCACUCCGCCUGGAGACGAGGAACGUA
This 562-nucleotide ribosomal RNA is filed under the name uncultured Exiguobacterium sp. RNAcentral describes it as "bacterial SSU rRNA". It matches the Rfam family "Bacterial small subunit ribosomal RNA", at positions 337 to 890 of the family's 1533-position model. Lineage: Bacteria; Bacillati; Bacillota; Bacilli; Caryophanales. The record is from RNAcentral.